GAAGCGGAGCGCCAUGGCUGGGAGCUGGUGGAGUAGAGCAGGCUGGGGCCGGGUUGCUCUGCUUCCUGCCACUGCUGGAUGAAUUGGACUGUGUUCCGAGCACCCAUGAGCACAGAGUCCCAUUUCAGUGUGGACUCAUCUGUGGAGCCGAGACAAGUGUGGAUUAAGAACCUGGAUGUCUGCAAAGACCCAACCCAGGAUGCUCUGGACAACCAGCAGGGAGAGGGAGAAGGAGAAGAAAGGUGGGAGAGGGGAGUGACACUAGUCACAGAGAAGAGCUCGUCCCCAAUUCAUAGGAACUGUUCCCCUUUAUGACCCAGGCAGAGCACGGUGUGGUGGAGGUUUCCCAAACUGAAGAAGCAGGGGAGGAGAGCAACUCAGGCUGGUUCCCAAAAAUCAUGCUGGGUGUGUCUCCAUCUCUACUGUGAUGCGGCAGAAUUCACUGUUCUAUGAUGUCAGAGCCACCAUUAGGCCCCACUGUAGAAAGGAGGCAGUCCAUAAGGGUCAGGAUUCAGCCAAAAGACAAUUUGAGACUGAACAAGAAAAUCCACCUGAACUGAGUAACAAAAUCUGUAAAUGGAGGAAGCCCCUGUUACUUCUUUCUUAGACAAGCCAGCUUUCCUGAUGGAGGGACACACACAGAGAAAGGGUUGUUUAUGACAUGGCAGCAUGGGGAGAAAUGUAGAAACUGAAAUACUGCAGCAAUUUGAAGAAGCGAGAGCAAAGGAAGAACAGGGGACUCAUUGCAAAACCUUCCUAGGAUGUGCAGGGACUGGCAAUCUUCCAAACAAAGAGGAUUGAUGGGUGGCAUUGAUACAGAGUAAUCCCAGAGUUGAACAAAUGUGCAUCCAGGAUCUCAUCCUGAGAGAUGCUGAAUACCUGCAGCUCCCACUCAAGUCAACCAGGGUUAGGUACUGGGUACUACACAGAACGAGACCCUCCAUUUGGAAAGUCUUGAAUUGUAUAUUUUGAAGAAAAACGCAGCUUCUGAGCUAUUGUAAAGACAGUGGAAAACUACCAGCUUACACCAGAACAAUACUGCAGCUCCAAGCAG
Molecule: long non-coding RNA, 1054 nt
Organism: Terrapene triunguis (Three-toed box turtle)
Lineage: Eukaryota; Metazoa; Chordata; Testudines; Emydidae
Exons: 7
Source: RefSeq, a predicted model, not a curated record